UAGGGAAUAUUCCACAAUGAGCGAAAGCUUGAUGGAGCGACACAGCGUGCACGAUGAAGGCCCUCGGGUUGUAAAGUGCUGUUGCAAGGGAAGAACAGUUAGUUGAGGAAAUGCUUCUAAUCUGACGGUACCUUGUUAGAAAGCGAUGGCUAACUAUGUGCCAGCAGCCGCGGUAAUACAUAGGUCGCAAGCGUUAUCCGGAAUUAUUGGGCGUAAAGCGUUCGUAGGCUGUUUAUUAAGUCUGGAGUCAAAUCCCAGGGCUCAACCCUGGCUCGCUUUGGAUACUGGUAAACUAGAGUUAGAUAGAGGUAAGCGGAAUUCCAUGUGGAGCGGUGAAAUGCGUAGAUAUAUGGAAGAACACCAAAGGCGAAGGCAGCUUACUGGGUCUAUACUGACGCUGAGGGACGAAAGCGUGGGGAGCAAACAGGAUUAGAUACCCUGGUAGUCCACGCUGUAAACGAUGAUCAUUAGUCGGUGGAAAACUACUGACGCAGCUNACGCAUUANUGAUCCGCCUGAGUAGUAUGCUCGCAAGAGU
This 537-nucleotide ribosomal RNA is filed under the name uncultured bacterium. Its description in RNAcentral is "bacterial SSU rRNA". It matches the Rfam family "Bacterial small subunit ribosomal RNA", at positions 355 to 895 of the family's 1533-position model. The record is from RNAcentral.